Molecule: microRNA precursor, 100 nt
Filed under: Prunus dulcis (almond)
Lineage: Eukaryota; Viridiplantae; Streptophyta; Magnoliopsida; Rosales; Rosaceae
Description: sRNA ncRNA
Source: RNAcentral
UAGGAUGAGAGGGAGAAGUAACAAAAGUGAAAACAAAAACUGAAUUCUAUUUCAAAUUGUUUUCACUUUUGUUACUCCUCCCUCUCAUCCUCUCUCUAAA